This is a non-coding RNA of Pelobates cultripes (western spadefoot toad), 210 nucleotides long. The record is from the annotation of a GenBank genome assembly. NCBI's taxonomy places the organism in Eukaryota, Metazoa, Chordata, Amphibia, Anura, Pelobatidae.
CACACUCACUACAUCCCCUAUACACACUAUGCCCCUUAUACACACACACACACUCUCUACAGCCCCUAGCCACACAUAUUACACCACAAACACAAAUUAAAUUGACCUAUUUACACAAUACCAUACCACAAUCAGCUCACUCUACACACAUGCAAUCCCACAAGCAGGCUCUAAACACAUGCACCAUACGCUUUUCGGGCCUUUUUGUCC